CUGCCCAAAAGAGGGGGAUAACACUUGGAAACAGGUGCUAAUACCGCAUAACCAUAGUUACCGCAUGGUAACUAUGUAAAAGGUGGCUAUGCUACCGCUUUUGGAUGGGCCCGCGGCGCAUUAGCUAGUUGGUGGGGUAAAGGCUUACCAAGGCAAUGAUGCGUAGCCGAACUGAGAGGUUGAUCGGCCACAUUGGGACUGAGACACGGCCCAAACUCCUACGGGAGGCAGCAGUAGGGAAUCUUCCACAAUGGGCGAAAGCCUGAUGGAGCAACGCCGCGUGGGUGAAGAAGGUCUUCGGAUCGUAAAACCCUGUUGUUAGAGAAGAAAGUACGUGAGAGUAACUGUUCACGUUUCGACGGUAUCUAACCAGAAAGCCACGGCUAACUACGUGCCAGCAGCCGCGGUAAUACGUAGGUGGCAAGCGUUAUCCGGAUUUAUUGGGCGUAAAGGGAACGCAGGCGGUCUUUUAAGUCUGAUGUGAAAGCCUUCGGCUUAACCGGAGUAGUGCAUUGGAAACUGGGAGACUUGAGUGCAGAAGAGGAGAGUGGAACUCCAUGUGUAGCGGUGAAAUGCGUAGAUAUAUGGAAGAACACCAGUGGCGAAAGCGGCUCUCUGGUCUGUAACUGACGCUGAGGUUCGAAAGCGUGGGUAGCAAACAGGAUUAGAUACCCUGGUAGUCCACGCCGUAAAC
This 694-nucleotide ribosomal RNA is filed under the name uncultured bacterium. Its description in RNAcentral is "bacterial SSU rRNA". It matches the Rfam family "Bacterial small subunit ribosomal RNA", at positions 126 to 807 of the family's 1533-position model. The record is from RNAcentral.